UGAGCAAUCUGCCCUUCUCUUCGGAAUAAGCGUUGGAAACGACGUCUAAUGCCGAAUACGACCUCCUUUCGCAUGAUCGGAGGUGGAAAGCUCCGGCGGAGAAGGAUGAGCUCGCGGCCUAUCAGCUAGUUGGUGUGGGUAAUGGCCCACCAAGGCGACGGACGGGUAGCCGGCCUGAGGAGGGUGACCCGGCCACACUGGGACUGAGACACCGGCCCAGACCUCCGACGGGAGNAGCG
RNAcentral lists this ribosomal RNA (239 nucleotides) under uncultured bacterium. RNAcentral describes it as "partial 16S ribosomal RNA". It matches the Rfam family "Bacterial small subunit ribosomal RNA", at positions 118 to 347 of the family's 1533-position model. The record is from RNAcentral.